CCUACGGGUGGCAGCAGUGAGGAAUAUUGGUCAAUGGACGAGAGUCUGAACCAGCCAAGUAGCGUGAAGUAUGACUGCCCUAUGGGUUGUAAACUUCUUUUAUAUGGGAAUAAAAUGUUCCACGUGUGGGAUUUUGUAUGUACCAUAUGAAUAAGGAUCGGCUAACUCCGUGCCAGCAGCCGCGGUAAUACGGAGGAUCCGAGCGUUAUCCGGAUUUAUUGGGGUUAAAGGGAGCGUAGGUGGAUUGUUAAGUCAGUUGUGAAAGUUUGCGGCUCAACCGUAAAAUUGCAGUUGAAUCUGGCAGUCUUGAGUACAGUAGAGGUGGGCGGAAUUCGUGGUGUAGCGGUGAAAUGCUUAGAUAUCACGAAGAACUCCGAUUGCGAAGGCAGCUUACUGGACUGCAACUGACACUGAGGCUCGAAAGUGUGGGUAUCAAACAGGAUUAGAUACCCUUGUAGUC
Molecule: ribosomal RNA, 460 nt
Filed under: uncultured bacterium
Lineage: Bacteria
Description: partial 16S ribosomal RNA
Rfam family: Bacterial small subunit ribosomal RNA
Source: RNAcentral